Molecule: transfer RNA, 74 nt
Filed under: Segatella maculosa OT 289
Lineage: Bacteria; Pseudomonadati; Bacteroidota; Bacteroidia; Bacteroidales; Prevotellaceae
Description: Prevotella maculosa OT 289 tRNA-Gly
Rfam family: tRNA
About the family: Transfer RNA (tRNA) molecules are approximately 80 nucleotides in length.
Source: RNAcentral
GCGGAAUUAGCACAUCGGUAGUGCGCGAGCUUCCCAAGCUUGAAAGGCGGGUUCGACUCCCGUAUUCCGCUCUA